Molecule: long non-coding RNA, 237 nt
Filed under: Prunus persica (peach)
Lineage: Eukaryota; Viridiplantae; Streptophyta; Magnoliopsida; Rosales; Rosaceae
Description: long non-coding RNA (PPER_LNC001527)
Source: RNAcentral
AUUUUCACAUUUCGUUACACAAAAAAUACUAUUUAUCUCAAAGAGGUUACUCAUACUUUUGGUGUUGAUUCUUUGCUUAGUGUCCAAAACGAUUCUUAUAUAGGAUUAACCGUCUUGGGGUUUAGUACUUAUCGUCAUUAUUCACAUUCUCGAAAAAUCAUCAUGCAUAUAGUAUGACUUUUUUAGAGUAUGAAUAACAAGUCUCACGAUAUAGAAACUUAAAAACGACUUAACUUU